UUACGGCCACAUCAUGUUGAAAUACCGGUUCCCGUAAGAUUACCAUAGUUAAACAACGUCGAGCCUGGUCAGUACCUAGGUGGGUAACCCCUUUGGAAUACCAAACGCUGUAA
This is a non-coding RNA of Acanthosepion pharaonis, 113 nucleotides long. The record is from the annotation of a GenBank genome assembly. Lineage: Eukaryota; Metazoa; Mollusca; Cephalopoda; Sepiida; Sepiidae.